This 709-nucleotide ribosomal RNA is filed under the name uncultured bacterium. Its description in RNAcentral is "bacterial SSU rRNA". It matches the Rfam family "Bacterial small subunit ribosomal RNA", at positions 56 to 771 of the family's 1533-position model. The record is from RNAcentral.
UGCAGUCGAACGGUUGGUAGCAAUACCACUAGUGGCGCACGGGUGCGUAACGCGUAACCAACCUACCCGAAUCUGGGGGAUAGCCCGCCGAAAGGCGGAUUAAUACCGCAUAAAACUGCAGCCUGGCAUCGGGUAACAGUUAAAGAUUUAUUGGAUUCGGAUGGGGUUGCGUGCCAUUAGCUAGUUGGCGGGGUAACGGCCCACCAAGGCGACGAUGGCUAGGGGAGCUGAGAGGCUGGUCCCCCACACGGGCACUGAGAUACGGGCCCGACUCCUACGGGAGGCAGCAGUAGGGAAUAUUGGGCAAUGGGCGAGAGCCUGACCCAGCCAUGCCGCGUGCAGGAUGAAGGCUUUCUGAGUCGUAAACUGCUUUUACCAGGGAAGAAAAAAGGGGAUGCGUCCUCUACUGACGGUACCUGGUGAAUAAGCACCGGCUAACUCCGUGCCAGCAGCCGCGGUAAUACGGAGGGUGCAAGCGUUGUCCGGAUUUAUUGGGUUUAAAGGGUGCGUAGGCGGCUGAUUAAGUCUGGGGUGAAAGCCCGUUGCUCAACAACGGAACUGCCCUGGAAACUGGUUAGCUUGAGUACAGACGAGGGUGGCGGAAUGGAUACUGUAGCGGUGAAAUGCAUAGAUAGUAUCCAGAACCCCGAUUGCGAAGGCAGCUGCCUAGACUGUAACUGACGCUGAGGCACGAAAGCGUGGGGAGCGA